RNAcentral lists this long non-coding RNA (463 nucleotides) under Sinocyclocheilus grahami. RNAcentral's name for it is "lncRNA (ENSSGRG00000027999.1)". Lineage: Eukaryota; Metazoa; Chordata; Actinopteri; Cypriniformes; Cyprinidae. The record is from RNAcentral.
UUAGUGUCUCUGAUGCCCUCUUGUCUUUCUCCGCCCAGGAACCUUUCAAAACGUCACUCUCCGGGGCCGCUAUCACUGCAGAGGGGGGCGGGAGAUCAAUGUGAGCCAGCUGUGUGACUUCAACUCUGACUGUCCACAAGGGGACGAUGAGGGGGAACAUUGCCGUCAAUUCCUCAAUGGCAGCUAUUGCUCAUUUGGAAGAGAGGAUUGCGGCUGGCAGCUGGUUCCAGGAAGGGGCCCACAAUGGAGGGCCCAUCCGUCCAUUCCCCAAAGCCUCAGAAGCAGCUGUCCAUCCCCAGGGGCCUUGUUGGCCAUCGACAGUCAGCCCAAAGGUCAGCGAGGAUCAGCCCAGGUGCGAAGCCCACUUUUCUUCUACCCACUACGGAACGCCCCUUGCAUGGUCAAGUUCUGGGUGUGUGGAUCUUCAAAUGGAAUGCUAUCGCUCUGGAUUAUAGAGAACAGC